Molecule: ribosomal RNA, 245 nt
Filed under: uncultured bacterium
Lineage: Bacteria
Description: partial 16S ribosomal RNA
Rfam family: Bacterial small subunit ribosomal RNA
Source: RNAcentral
CGUAGGGCGAGCGUUGUCCGAAGUUACUGGCGUAAGCGCGCGUAGGCGGUCAUUAAGUUCGGGUGAAGGUUCAGCGCUCAACGCGAACAGUGCCUUGAAUACUGGGUGACUUGAGUUCGGAGAGGGCAGUGGAAUUCCUGGUGUAGCGGUGAAAUGCGUAGAUAUCAGGAGGAACACCGAUGGCGAAGGCAGCUGCCUGGCCUAGAACUGACGCUGAGGUGCGAAAGCGUGGGAGCGAACGGAUU